CGCAGGAAUAGUCUACUAACCUUUCAUUCAAAUCUUGGACACUUGGUAUCACAGCUAGUAUCUCUUAAAGCAGACAACCUCUGAAAAUGUACAAGGCUGCCCUGAUCUUCACCCUUCUUGUGGCUCUUGCUAGUUUCACAACAGCUUUACCAGCAGUUGAUGAUGAUAUUUUAGAAGCUAAACGAGAGAGUCCUUGCCCCACUAACAAGUUGAAGUACUGUCAUUCGAUUGAAGAGGAUUGUUGGUGGACAGACGAUGCUAAAAGUGAAGCCUGCGUGUACGCUAAGAGAUGCUGUUAAAAAUUGCCGAUUCAGCAGUGCCAGCGAAAUUGCACCUAAAACCGGAUAGUUGAUAGCAUAGUAGUCAUAUACUCAGUAAGACUCAGUAAGAUAUUCAUUAUUCAUUAAGUAUAUGUAAUGUAAACCUAUAUUAGUUUAGAACGAAAUUAAAUAAAUUUUCACAUUU
Molecule: long non-coding RNA, 465 nt
Organism: Actinia tenebrosa (Australian red waratah sea anemone)
Lineage: Eukaryota; Metazoa; Cnidaria; Anthozoa; Actiniaria; Actiniidae
Source: RefSeq, a predicted model, not a curated record